This 468-nucleotide ribosomal RNA is filed under the name uncultured bacterium. RNAcentral describes it as "partial 16S ribosomal RNA". It matches the Rfam family "Bacterial small subunit ribosomal RNA", at positions 28 to 507 of the family's 1533-position model. The record is from RNAcentral.
GAUGAACGCUGGCGGCGUGCUUAACACAUGCAAGUCGAACGGAAAGGCCGAAGCUUGCUUCGGUACUCGAGUGGCGAACGGGUGAGUAACACGUGGGUGAUCUGCCCUGUACUUCGGGAUAAGCUUGGGAAACUGGGUCUAAUACCGGAUAUGACGAUCUCUUGGAUGGGGUUGUGGAAAGCUUUUGCGGUAUGGGAUGAGCUCGCGGCCUAUCAGCUUGUUGGUGGGGUAAUGGCCUACCAAGGCGUCGACGGGUAGCCGGCCUGAGAGGGUGUACGGCCACAUUGGGACUGAGAUACGGCCCAGACUCCUACGGGAGGCAGCAGUGGGGAAUAUUGCACAAUGGGCGCAAGCCUGAUGCAGCGACGCCGCGUGGGGGAUGACGGCCUUCGGGUUGUAAACUCCUUUCGCAAUCGACGAAGCCUUUUGGUGACGGCAGGUUGAGAAGAAGCACCGGCUAACUACGUG